This 497-nucleotide ribosomal RNA is filed under the name uncultured bacterium. Its description in RNAcentral is "partial 16S ribosomal RNA". It matches the Rfam family "Bacterial small subunit ribosomal RNA", at positions 28 to 507 of the family's 1533-position model. The record is from RNAcentral.
GAUGAACGCUGGCGGCGUGCCUAAUACAUGCAAGUCGAGCGAACAGACGAGGAGCUUGCUCCUCUGACGUUAGCGGCGGACGGGUGAGUAACACGUGGAUAACCUACCUAUAAGACUGGGAUAACUUCGGGAAACCGGAGCUAAUACCGGAUAAUAUAUUGAACCGCAUGGUUCAAUAGUGAAAGACGGUUUUGCUGUCACUUAUAGAUGGAUCCGCGCCGCAUUAGCUAGUUGGUAAGGUAACGGCUUACCAAGGCAACGAUGGUUAGCCGACCUGAGAGGGUGAUCGGCCACACUGGAAGUGAGACACGGCACCGACUCCUGCAGGGGGAAGCAGUAGGGAAUCUUCCGCGAUGGGCGAGUGCCUAACGGAGCAACACCGCGUGAGGGAUGAUGGUCUUCGGAUCGUAGAACUCUGUAAUUAGGAGAGUACAAAAGUGUAAGUAACUAUGCACGUCUUGACGGUACCUAAUCAGUAAGCCACGGCUAACUACGUG